AUAGGGUGAGGGGUCCUUACUCGUUUCGGGGUCCGAACACGGCUUCACAGUGCGCCUACAGGCUGUCCCUAAUUUUUCCUGAAUUUUUCCUGGGGAACUGAAACGCACUACUGGUACCGGCGGCGAUGCCCUCGGGUGCGGCGGCUCUCCGGUGAAGUUCGUGUUUUGGUGAUUCGGCUCCGAUCAACCUGUAGAGAAAAGAAUGGUGAUCACGGUGAUAUAAAAAUUGCAUUAAACGGAGGCCGGGAAGGGCCUCAUCGGAGGCAAAAAUCGAGGAGGGGCGCGGCAGCGCCGCUGGGCUUCGGCCGUGUUUUUCGACUGUUUGGCCGAGAUUUUGGCUCCGAUUCGGCCACAGGGAAAAUCAGCGUAGAAAAACGAGUCGGGGCUAUGAAAUUUACCUCGAUCGGCGGUCGGAAAUCCCUCCGGUGCGGCGGCGGGUGGUGGCGGCCGGCUUCUGGUUCGUCUUCUCCGGCG
Molecule: long non-coding RNA, 474 nt
Filed under: Carica papaya (papaya)
Lineage: Eukaryota; Viridiplantae; Streptophyta; Magnoliopsida; Brassicales; Caricaceae
Description: long non-coding RNA (CPAP_LNC006468)
Source: RNAcentral